AGUGAACGCUGGCGGUAGGCCUAACACAUGCAAGUCGAACGGCAGCACAGUAAGAGCUUGCUCUUACGGGUGGCGAGUGGCGGACGGGUGAGGCAUACAUCGGAAUCUACUUUUUCUUGUGGGAUAACGUAGGGAAACUUACGCUAAUACCGCAUACUACCUACGGGUGAAAGCAGGGGAUCUUCGGACCUUGCGCGAUUGAAUGAUCCGAUGUCGGAUUAUCUAGUUGGCGGGGUAAAGGCCCACCAAGGCGACGACCCGUAGCUGGUCUGAGAGGAUGAUCAGCCAGACUUGAACUGAGACAAGGUACAAGCCCAUACGGGAGGCAGGAGUGGGGAAUAGUGGACAAUGGGCGCAAGCCUGAUCAAGCCAUACCGAGUGGGUGAAGAAGGCAUUCGGGUUGUAAAGCCCUUUUGUUGGGAAAGAAAAGCAGCAGGUUAAUAACCCGAUGUUGUGACGGUACCAAACGAAUAAGCACCGGCUAACUUCGUG
This 492-nucleotide ribosomal RNA is filed under the name uncultured bacterium. RNAcentral describes it as "partial 16S ribosomal RNA". It matches the Rfam family "Bacterial small subunit ribosomal RNA", at positions 29 to 507 of the family's 1533-position model. The record is from RNAcentral.